RNAcentral lists this ribosomal RNA (253 nucleotides) under uncultured bacterium. RNAcentral describes it as "partial 16S ribosomal RNA". It matches the Rfam family "Bacterial small subunit ribosomal RNA", at positions 524 to 776 of the family's 1533-position model. The record is from RNAcentral.
UACGUAGGGUGCGAGCGUUGUCCGGAAUUAUUGGGCGUAAAGGGCUCGUAGGCGGUCUGUCGCGUCGGGAGUGAAAACUCGGGGCUUAACUCCGAGCCUGCUUCUGAUACGGGCAGACUAGAGGUAUGCAGGGGAGAAUGGAAUUCCUGGUGUAGCGGUGAAAUGCGUAGAUAUCGAGAGGAACACCUGCGGCGAAGGCGGGUUGCUGGGCUGACACUGACGCUGAGGCGCGAAAGCCAGGGGAGCGAACGGG